UAGAUACCCUAUUAUUUUAAAUGUAAAUUUGUUAAAUUCUUGAGUAGUAAUAGUUAUAUUCUUGAAACUCAAAGAAUAUGGCGGUGUUUUAGUCCUUUCAGAGGAAUCUGUCCUGUUAUUGAUAAUACACAAUUAACUUUACUUAAUUUUGUAAUUUCAGCUUAUAUACCGCCGUCAUCAGUUUAUCUUAUAAAGGAUUAAAUUUUCUUAUAAUUUUAUUAAAUUAUAUGUCAGGUCAAGGUGUAGUUUAUAAUUAAGUGGGAGAUGGAUUACAAUAAAUUAUAUUUACAUGGAUUUUUGUUUGAAAAUUGAGAUGAAGGUGGAUUUGAUUGUAAUUUUAUUUAUUUAAUUAAUUUGAUCUAGGCUCUAAUAUGCGCACACAUCGCCCGUCGCUCUU
This 397-nucleotide ribosomal RNA is filed under the name Rhaphidophora sp. PHI. RNAcentral describes it as "partial 12S ribosomal RNA". The record is from RNAcentral. Lineage: Eukaryota; Metazoa; Arthropoda; Insecta; Orthoptera; Rhaphidophoridae.